CAGAGCGAACGCUGGCGGCAGGCCUAACACAUGCAAGUCGAGCGUNUUCUUCGGAGGGAGCGGCGGACGGGUGAGUAACGCGUGGGAACGUGCCCUUCNCUAUGGAAUAGCCACUGGAAACGGUGAGUAAUACCAUAUACGCCCUUCGGGGGAAAGAUUUAUCGGAGAAGGAUCGGCCCGCGUUAGAUUAGGUAGUUGGUGGGGUAAUGGCCUACCAAGCCUACGANCUAUAGCUGGUUUUAGAGGAUGANCAGCCACACUGGGACUGAGACACGGCCCAGACNCCUACGGGAGGCAGCAGUGGGGAAUCUUAGACAAUGGGCGCAAGCCUGAUCUAGCCAUGCCGCGUGAGUGAUGAAGGCCUUAGGGNCGUAAAGCU
This 379-nucleotide ribosomal RNA is filed under the name uncultured Alphaproteobacteria bacterium. RNAcentral describes it as "bacterial SSU rRNA". It matches the Rfam family "Bacterial small subunit ribosomal RNA", at positions 25 to 432 of the family's 1533-position model. The record is from RNAcentral. Lineage: Bacteria; Pseudomonadati; Pseudomonadota; Alphaproteobacteria.